UACGUAGGGUCCGAGCGUUGUCCGGAAUUAUUGGGCGUAAAGGGCUCGUAGGCGGUCUGUUGCGUCGGGAGUGAAAACUUACAGCUUAACUGUGAGCGUGCUUUCGAUACGGGCAGACUUGAGGCAUUCAGGGGAGAACGGAAUUCCCGGUGUAGCGGUGAAAUGCGUAGAGAUGUGGAGGAACACCGAUGGCGAAGGCAGCCUUCUGGGCCAACACUGACGCUCAUGCACGAAAGCGUGGGGAGCAAACAGG
This 253-nucleotide ribosomal RNA is filed under the name uncultured bacterium. Its description in RNAcentral is "partial 16S ribosomal RNA". It matches the Rfam family "Bacterial small subunit ribosomal RNA", at positions 524 to 776 of the family's 1533-position model. The record is from RNAcentral.